ACUCCUACGGGAGGCAGCAGUGGGGAAUCUUAGACAAUGGGGCAACCCGUGAUCUAGCCAUGCCGCGUGAGUGAUGAAGGCCUUAGGGUCGUAAAGCUCUUUCGCCAGGGAUGAUAAUGACAGUACCUGGUAAAGAAACCCCGCGUACAUCCGUGCCAGCAGCCGCGGUAAUACGGAGGGGUUAGCGUUGUUCGGAAUUACUGGGCGUAAAGCGCGCGUA
RNAcentral lists this ribosomal RNA (220 nucleotides) under uncultured bacterium. Its description in RNAcentral is "partial 16S ribosomal RNA". It matches the Rfam family "Bacterial small subunit ribosomal RNA", at positions 335 to 573 of the family's 1533-position model. The record is from RNAcentral.